CGACUCUCGGCAACGGAUAUCUCGGCUCUCGCAUCGAUGAAGAACGUAGCGAAAUGCGAUACUUGGUGUGAAUUGCAGAAUCCCGUGAACCAUCGAGUCUUUGAACGCAAGUUGCGCCCGAAGCCAUUYGGUCGAGGGCACGUCUGCCUGGGCGUCACGC
RNAcentral lists this ribosomal RNA (160 nucleotides) under Tamarix minoa. RNAcentral's name for it is "5.8S ribosomal RNA". It matches the Rfam family "5.8S ribosomal RNA". From Rfam's summary of the family: 5.8S ribosomal RNA (5.8S rRNA) is a component of the large subunit of the eukaryotic ribosome. It is transcribed by RNA polymerase I as part of the 45S precursor that also contains 18S and 28S rRNA. Lineage: Eukaryota; Viridiplantae; Streptophyta; Magnoliopsida; Caryophyllales; Tamaricaceae. The record is from RNAcentral.